UUUCACGGCCACAGCCUUAUGAACCUGUAGCCCAAGACCGCUUACUCACUGACGCUAAGCAGGGCUGAGGCUGGUCAGUACCUGGAUGGGAGACCACAUAGGAAAACUAGGUUGCUGUUGGAA
Danio rerio (zebrafish) is the source of this 123-nucleotide non-coding RNA. Lineage: Eukaryota; Metazoa; Chordata; Actinopteri; Cypriniformes; Danionidae. The record is from Rfam.